Arvicanthis niloticus (Nile rat) is the source of this 375-nucleotide non-coding RNA. The record is from the annotation of a RefSeq genome assembly. NCBI's taxonomy places the organism in Eukaryota, Metazoa, Chordata, Mammalia, Rodentia, Muridae.
AUGAAGAGGCUGUUGUGCUCUCUGCUGGGACUUCUGUGCACCCAGGUUUGCUGGUUGAAAGGGCAGCAAGUGCAUCAGAGUCCUGUGUCCUUGGUCCUGCAGGAGGGAGAGGACGCAGAGCUGCAGUGUAACUUUUCCACAACUUUGAACAGUAUGCAGUGGUUUUACCAACGUCCUGGGGAAAGCCUCGUCAGACUGUUCUACAAUCCUUCUGGGACAAAGCAGAGUGGAAGACUGACAUCCACCACAGUCACUAGGGAACUUCGAAGCUCUCUGCACAUCUCCUCCUCCCAGACCACAGACUCAGGCACUUAUCUCUGUGCUAUGGAACCACAGUGCUCCCCACACACCUGCAGGCUGUACAUAAACCUUUAG